RNAcentral lists this long non-coding RNA (2488 nucleotides) under Anthonomus grandis grandis. RNAcentral's name for it is "uncharacterized LOC126741281". Lineage: Eukaryota; Metazoa; Arthropoda; Insecta; Coleoptera; Curculionidae. The record is from RNAcentral.
CCUAUAUUACUUACAAUACAAAACUAUUAUUUGUAUAACCUUAUGUCUAAAUCAGUUUCAUUAUUCGAUACGAUUCAUGGGCAAAUCCUGUCAUUAGAGAAGAAGUUGUAAUUGUAACCCUUAUAAAUGCGUUUGGAUAACUUACAAAAACACUUAUGCAAAUUACUAGAUUCCGAUGAAAAUGACUUAAACUCAAGUGAGGACGAUGUAGUGAAAGAGUUACUUGAUGAUGGAGACAAAAACAAGGAGUUUUUUUAAAUCAAUAGAAGUUGCAUAAUUUUUUCACGUUUCAAGACCAAGGCGUACUUCAGUUUUAGCUACAUUUUUAGGGAAGAGAAUUGUAUAGUUGUGCAAAACAGGCUGGGUACAAAUACAUGAUGCUGUUCUUCAGUCCAGAAAUUGUAAAAGCACUUAUCAAAAUCAAUUGCAGUUAAAGCUUUAUAUUUUCUAACUAUCGUCUGCAACUUUGAAUUUUUCAUCGGACUCUAUUGUCUCAGUAAUAUUCUUUGCCUCACGGAGACACUAAGUAUAACUCUACAGAAGGAAACGAUUGAUCUUCCGAAAGCUUCAGAAAUAUAACAACGUUGACUGCAACACUUCUUUUGAAUGCCUUUUUUUUAAAUUAGACGUUGAAGUAAAGAAUUCUAGAACUUACGGUCGUCACAGUCAUCGCAACAUUUCAAAGCUGUGAAGAAAUACUGUAAGGUUUCAGAAUAUAUACCAUUCAUUGAAAUGACGACAGAAGAUUUUAAAGCACGGUUCUCAGUCUUGGAAAUAUUAAAUUUGAGUUUGCUUCAACCUAAACUAAAUAGAGAAAAUGCUGAAUUAAUUAACUGCUUUGUGCAUUUAGCCAGGAUUUUACAAAAUCACUUAGAAUAGCAAAAAAUUAAGUUUGAAGCGGAAUUGGAGCUGUGGCAACAAAAGUGGAAGAUUCACUGUUGAGUUCAGAACGCACUGGUUCCAUGGUUCCAUUAUAGCUAUAAUUAUAUUAUAUUUAUAUUUAUUAUAUUUAUAUAUUAAUAUAUUAUAUUUAUUAUAUUUUUAUAUUUAAACGGAUAAGUGAUGCGUAGGAUUAAGAAUGUCGAUAGAUCUUUGGAGCAUAUCAAAAAUUUGUACUAAAUACCACUUGUGGCCAGAGGCUACGUACCACUACGUAGUUGUUGAUCAUUGAGGGUGUUUUAAGUACAAUUUUAAAAAUGAAUUCCUGGCAGGUAAAUGGUAAAGAAUGUUGUUACUUCCAAGCAUUUGAAGUCAUUCUUCUUAUUCCUGAAAAGCCUUCAAUUGCCUGAAAGUAACAGGAAAUUACUUUAAAAAUUAGGCAAUCUUAGCUUUCAGGCCUUUGAAGUCACGGUUUUUUGACUUCUUGAAGACAUCAACUGUUUGGAAGUAAUUUUCUGUUACUUCCAGGCAGUUGAAGUCAUUCUUCUUAUUUUUAAAAGCCUUGAAUUGCCUGGAAGUAACAGGAAAUUACUUUAAAAAUUAGGCAAUUUUAGCUUUCAGGCCUUUGAAGUCACGGUUUUUUGACUUCUUGAAGACAUCGACUGUUUGGAAGUGAUUUUCUGUUACUUCCAGGCAGUUCAAGUCAUUCUUCUUAUUUUUAAAAGCCUUGAAUUGCCUGGAAGUAACAGGAAAUUACUUUAAAAAUUACGCAAUUUUAGCUUUCAGGCCUUUGAAGUCACGGUUUUUUGACUUCUUGAAGACAUCAACUGUUUGGAAGUCUUUUUCUGUUACUUCCAGGUAGUUGAAGUCAUGCUUCUUAUUUUUAAAAGCCUUGAAUUGCCUGGAAGUAACAGGAAAUUACUUUAAAAAUUAGGCAAUUUUAGCUUUCAGGCCUUUGAGGUCACAGUUUUCUGACUUCUUGAAGACAUCAACUGUUUGGAAGUCAUUUUCUGUUACUUUCAGGUAGUUGAAGUCAUUCUUCUUAUUUUUAAAAGCCUUGAAUUGCCUGGAAAUAACAGGAAAUUACUUUAAAAAUUAGGCAAUUUUAGCUUUCAGGCCUUUGAAGUCACGGUUUUUUGACUUCUUGAAGAGAUCAACUGUUUGGAAGUCAUUUUCUGUUACUUCCAGGCAGUUGAAGUCAUUCUUCUUAUUUUUAAAAGCCUUGAAUUGCCUGGAAGUAACAAAAAAUUACUUUAAAAAUUGGGCAAUUUUAGCUUUCAGGCCUUUGAGGUCACAGUUUUCUGACUUCUUGAAGACAUCAACUGUUUGGAAGUCAUUUUCUGUUACUUUCAGGUAGUUGAAGUCAUUCUUCUUAUUUUUAAAAGCCUUGAAUUGCCUGGAAAUAACAGGAAAUUACUUUAAAAAUUAGGCAAUUUUAGCUUUCAGGCCUUUGAAGUCACGGUUUUUUGACUUUUUGAAGAUAUCAACUGUUUGGAAGUAUUUUUCUGUUACUUCCAGGCAGUUGAAGUCAUUCUUCUUAUUUUUAAAAGCCUUGAAUUGCCUGGAAGUAACAGGAAAUUACUUUAAAAAUUACGCAAUUUUAGCUUUC